RNAcentral lists this ribosomal RNA (269 nucleotides) under uncultured bacterium. RNAcentral describes it as "partial 16S ribosomal RNA". It matches the Rfam family "Bacterial small subunit ribosomal RNA", at positions 1234 to 1500 of the family's 1533-position model. The record is from RNAcentral.
CGGUUAACAGAGGGAUGCAAAGCCGUGAGGCAGAGCGAACCCCCAAAAGCCGUCCCAGUUCGGAUCGCAGGCUGCAACCCGCCUGCGUGAAGUCGGAAUCGCUAGUAAUCGCGGAUCAGCAUGCCGCGGUGAAUACGUUCCCGGGCCUUGUACACACCGCCCGUCACACCAUGAGAGUCGGGAACACCCGAAGUCCGUAGCCUAACUUUAACGAGGGGGCGCGGCCGAAGGUGGGUUCGAUAAUUGGGGUGAAGUCGUAACAAGGUAUC